UGACCCUUAUUAAGCCGAGGGUCACCUAGCCAACUGACGUUGUUAGUGAACUUUUUUGUUCACAAUCAAAUAUAGCCAACCACGCAAAUUGUGAUUGGCUUUUUUUUU
Molecule: non-coding RNA, 108 nt
Organism: Vibrio hepatarius
Lineage: Bacteria; Pseudomonadati; Pseudomonadota; Gammaproteobacteria; Vibrionales; Vibrionaceae
Source: Rfam